This is a long non-coding RNA of Pecten maximus, 530 nucleotides long. RefSeq lists it as uncharacterized. NCBI's taxonomy places the organism in Eukaryota, Metazoa, Mollusca, Bivalvia, Pectinida, Pectinidae. The transcript has 3 exons. The record is from RefSeq and is a predicted model, not a curated record.
AGACACCAAGCAGACCUACACGGCUUCAGCUGUUUUUACAGGUAGCAACCUCCUGCAAAAAUUACAAUGAUUUUUCAGAAGAUGUACAGUCGGAAUACUCUAUCUAUUCCAGCGGGCACGAUGAACAGGUAUUCCCUCAGUUUUCAGACACAGCGCAAUACAAUAUCAGAAUGGAUCGCUACCCGAAUAUUUGAAUAAAUAAAACAGAAUUUUUCUCAAGUUGACAACUUGCCAUUGGGUUGUCAACUUGGGUCUCAGUUUAAAAACUGAUUCCAACACAAUGCCGGAUCCAAGAAUAUCAUCGAAAGACAACAUUUCUUGGAAUAUGGAUAACAUACUCUUAAACAGUCGCAAAACACUAGGAAUGUCAGCUAAAGGAUCGGUUCAAAGUAAUUCAUAACGUUGGCGUAGUGAAGAGAUGCUUUUUAAUCAGAUUGCGAUGUGUAAAAGACUACAAAGUAAACAAGAAAGGAUAAUAUGAUAAACAUGCACCUAUCGUGGACAAAAACACUGAUAAUGGGAUAUCCAAU